GACGAACGCUGGCGGCGUGCUUAACACAUGCAAGUCGAACGGAAAGGCCCUGCUGUUGUGGGGGGCUCGAGUGCCGAACGGGUGAUUAACACGUGAGUAACCUGCCCUUGACUUUGUGAUAACUUCAGGAAACUGGGGCUAAUACCGGAUAGGAUCUCCUGCUGCAUGGUGGGGGUUGGAAAGUUUCUGCGUCGGGGGAUGGGCCCGCGGCUGAUCAGCUUGUGGGGGAGGGAGUGGCUUACCAAGGGGACGACGAGUAGCUGGCCUGAGAGGAUGACCAGCCACACUGGGACUGAGACACGGCCCAGACUCCUACGGGAGGCAGCAGUGGGGAAUAUUGGACAAUGGGCGCAAGCCUGAUCCAGCCAGGCCGCGUGAGUGAUGAAGGCCUUAGGGUUGUAAAGCUCUUUUGUCCGGGAAGAUAAGGACUGUACCGGAAGAAUAAGCCCCGGCUAACUUCGUG
RNAcentral lists this ribosomal RNA (463 nucleotides) under uncultured bacterium. RNAcentral's name for it is "partial 16S ribosomal RNA". It matches the Rfam family "Bacterial small subunit ribosomal RNA", at positions 28 to 507 of the family's 1533-position model. The record is from RNAcentral.